UACGAAGGGGGCUAGCGUUGCUCGGAAUUACUGGGCGUAAAGCGCACGUAGGCGGCUUUCUAAGUCGGAGGUGAAAUCCUGGAGCUCAACUCCAGAACUGCCUUCGAUACUGGAGAGCUUGAGUCCGGGAGAGGUGAGUGGAACUGCGAGUGUAGAAGUGAAAUUCGUAGAUAUUCGCAAGAACACCAGUGGCGAAGGCGGCCAACUGGUCCGGUACUGACGCUGAGGUGCGAAAGCGUGGGGAGCAAACAGG
RNAcentral lists this ribosomal RNA (253 nucleotides) under uncultured bacterium. RNAcentral describes it as "partial 16S ribosomal RNA". It matches the Rfam family "Bacterial small subunit ribosomal RNA", at positions 524 to 776 of the family's 1533-position model. The record is from RNAcentral.